RNAcentral lists this ribosomal RNA (429 nucleotides) under Pseudomonadota bacterium. RNAcentral's name for it is "Proteobacteria bacterium partial 16S ribosomal RNA". It matches the Rfam family "Bacterial small subunit ribosomal RNA", at positions 355 to 776 of the family's 1533-position model. The record is from RNAcentral. Lineage: Bacteria; Pseudomonadati; Pseudomonadota.
UGGGGAAUAUUGGACAAUGGGCGAAAGCCUGAUCCAGCCAUGCCGCGUGUGUGAAGAAGGUCUUCGGAUCGUAAAGCACUUUAAGUUGGGAGGAAGGGCAGUAAGCGAAUACCUUGCUGUUUUGACGUUACCGACAGAAUAAGCACCGGCUAACUCUGUGCCAGCAGCCGCGGUAAUACAGAGGGUGCAAGCGUUAAUCGGAAUUACUGGGCGUAAAGCGCGCGUAGGUGGUUCGUUAAGUUGAAUGUGAAAGCCCCGGGCUCAACCUGGGAACUGCAUCCAAAACUGGCGGGCUAGAGUAGGGCAGAGGGUGGUGGAAUUUCCUGUGUAGCGGUGAAAUGCGUAGAUAUAGCAAGGAACACCAGUGGCGAAGGCGACCACCUGGGCUCAUACUGACACUGAGGUGCGAAAGCGUGGGGAGCAAACAGG